AACGAACGCUGGCGGCAUGCCUAACACAUGCAAGUCGAACGAGACCUUCGGGUCUAGUUGCGCACGGGUGCGUAACGCGUGGGAAUCUUCCCUUGGGUGCGGAAUAACAGUUGGAAACGACUGCUAAUACCGGAUGAUUACGUAAGUCCAAAGAUUUAUCGCCCAGGGAUGAGCCCGCGUAGGAUUUGCUAGUUGGUGGGGUAAAGGCCUACCAAGGCGAAGAUCCUUAGCUGGUCUGAGAGGAUGAUCAGCCACACUGGGACUGGGACACGGCCCAGACCCCUACGGGAGGCAGAAGUGGGGAAUAUUGGACAAUGGGCGAAGGACUGAUCCAGCAAUGCCGCGUGAGUGAUGAAGGCCUUAGGGUUGUAAAGCUCUUUUACCCGCGAUGAUAAUGACAGUACCGGGAGAAUAAGCCACGGCUAACUCCGUG
RNAcentral lists this ribosomal RNA (433 nucleotides) under uncultured bacterium. RNAcentral's name for it is "partial 16S ribosomal RNA". It matches the Rfam family "Bacterial small subunit ribosomal RNA", at positions 29 to 507 of the family's 1533-position model. The record is from RNAcentral.